AUCAUUUCUCAGCCUUUUGGCAAGACCAAGUGUAGUAUCUGUUCUUAUCAGAUAUUGGUAUCUGCAGGCACUCCUGGAACAAAUCCCCCCACGGGAUAUGGGAUAUGGAGAGACAACUGUACUUGUUUCCAUAUCUGCU
Molecule: small nuclear RNA, 139 nt
Filed under: Gorilla gorilla gorilla (western lowland gorilla)
Lineage: Eukaryota; Metazoa; Chordata; Mammalia; Primates; Hominidae
Description: U2 spliceosomal RNA (ENSGGOG00000035358.2)
Rfam family: U2 spliceosomal RNA (bases 1-89)
About the family: U2 is a small nuclear RNA (snRNA) component of the spliceosome (involved in pre-mRNA splicing). Complementary binding between U2 snRNA (in an area lying towards the 5' end but 3' to hairpin I) and the branchpoint sequence (BPS) of the intron results the bulging out of an unpaired adenosine, on the BPS, which initiates a nucleophilic attack at the intronic 5' splice site, thus starting the first of two transesterification reactions that mediate splicing.
Source: RNAcentral